Cynara cardunculus var. scolymus (artichoke) is the source of this 427-nucleotide long non-coding RNA. RefSeq lists it as uncharacterized. NCBI's taxonomy places the organism in Eukaryota, Viridiplantae, Streptophyta, Magnoliopsida, Asterales, Asteraceae. The record is from RefSeq and is a predicted model, not a curated record. The transcript is spliced from 2 exons.
GUUGGGGGGAUAAUAAUAUCAUUAGGGUUCUAUGCUGUUUUAUGGGGAAAAGCUAAAGAAGAUGGCAGUCAUGUUGAUGACAAGGAAGCAGCUUCAUCAUCCACCCAAACCACCUCUCUGUUGCAACCCCAUGAGGUAUGAAUGCGCAACUAACAUCGGUGYGGUAGUCAAAUUCAACACAAGUAUAGACAAAUCCAUUGCAUUGUAAGUUGCAUACAGCAAACUUGAACAYGCCCAAAAGCUUACGAGAGACGAGCGGUAGGAGAAGAAGGGUACGUUGAGGGUGGUUUUGCACCGAGCAAAGUUGCAUGGUUUCAUCCUCAUUGGCACACUUGUAGAAGGGUAUGUUGGCGAUUGGUMUCACACAUMCAUUACAUAACAAUUCARUCUUUUUUAUUGGGUUAUGAGAGGAUAACAGUUUCAUUCU